RNAcentral lists this ribosomal RNA (253 nucleotides) under uncultured bacterium. RNAcentral's name for it is "partial 16S ribosomal RNA". It matches the Rfam family "Bacterial small subunit ribosomal RNA", at positions 524 to 776 of the family's 1533-position model. The record is from RNAcentral.
UACGUAGGGGGCUAGCGUUGUCCGGAAUCAUUGGGCGUAAAGCGCGUGUAGGCGGCUCGGUAAGUCCGCUCUGAAAGCCCGGGGCUCAACCCCGGGAGGCGGGUGGAUAUUGCCGAGCUCGAGUCCGGAAGAGGCAAGUGGAAUUCCCGGUGUAGCGGUGAAAUGCGCAGAUAUCAGGAGGAACACCGGUGGCGAAGGCGGGUCUCUGGGCCGAUACUGACGCUGAGGAGCGAAAGCGUGGGGAGCGAACAGG